GCGGUAAGUACGGAGGGGGUUAGCGUUGUUCGGAAUUACUGGGCGUAAAGCGUACGUAGGCGGAUUAGUAAGUUAGAGGUGAAAUCCCAGGGCUCAACCCUGGAACUGCCUUAAUACUGCUAGUCUAGAGUUCGAGAGAGGUGAGUGGAAUUCCAAGUGUAGAGGUGAAAUUCGUAGAUAUUUGGAGGAACACCAGUGGCGAAGGCGGCUCACUGGCUCGAUACUGACGCUGAGGUACGAAAGUGUGGGGAGCAAACAGGAUUAGAUACCCUGGUAGUCCACACCGUAAACGAUGAAUGCCAGUCGUCGGGUAGUAUACUAUUCGGUGACACACCUAACGGAGUAAGCAUUCCGCCUGGGGAGUACGGUCGCAAGACUAAAACUCAAAGGAAUUGACGGGGGCCCGCACAAGCGGUGGAUUAUGUGGUUUAAUUCGAAGCAACGCGCAGAACCUUACCUAGGCUUGAAAUCCUUCGAAUCCCGAGUAAUUUUGGGAGUGCCCGCAAGGGAAUGAAGUGACAGGUGCUGCAUGGCU
This 535-nucleotide ribosomal RNA is filed under the name uncultured Nereida sp. RNAcentral describes it as "bacterial SSU rRNA". It matches the Rfam family "Bacterial small subunit ribosomal RNA", at positions 517 to 1050 of the family's 1533-position model. The record is from RNAcentral. Lineage: Bacteria; Pseudomonadati; Pseudomonadota; Alphaproteobacteria; Rhodobacterales; Roseobacteraceae.